AGAAUCAACGCUGGCGGCGUGCCUAACACAUGCAAGUCGAACGAGAAAGUGGAGCAAUCCACGAGUAAAGUGGCGCACGGGUGAGUAACACGUGACUAACCUACCCUUGAGUGGGGAAUAACCUCGGGAAACCGGGGCUAAUACCGCAUAACACCUACGGGUCAAAGGAGCAAUUCGCUUAAGGAGGGGUCGCGGCAGAUUAGUUAGUUGGCGGGGUAAUGGCCCACCAAGACGGUGAUCUGUAUCC
Molecule: ribosomal RNA, 247 nt
Filed under: uncultured bacterium
Lineage: Bacteria
Description: partial small subunit ribosomal RNA
Rfam family: Bacterial small subunit ribosomal RNA
Source: RNAcentral